This 468-nucleotide ribosomal RNA is filed under the name uncultured bacterium. Its description in RNAcentral is "partial 16S ribosomal RNA". It matches the Rfam family "Bacterial small subunit ribosomal RNA", at positions 28 to 507 of the family's 1533-position model. The record is from RNAcentral.
GACGAACGCUGGCGGCGUGCCUAAUACAUGCAAGUCGAACGGAACGGCCCUGCUUUUGUGGGGUGGUCGAGUUAAGAAGGGGUGAGUAGCACGUGAGUAACCUGUAACUGACUGUGGGAUAACCUAAGGAAACUUAGGCUAAUCCCGGCAAGGAGCUCCUGCCGCAUGGUGGGGGUUGGAUGGUUUCGGCGGUUGGGGGUGGACUCGCGUCGUAUGGGGUUGUUGGUUGGGUAGUGGGUUACCAAGGCUUGGAAGCGUAGCCGGCCUGGGCGGGUCACCGGCCACAUCGGGACUGGGAUACGGCCCAGACUCCAACCCGAGGCAGCGGUGGAGAAUAUUACACAAUGGGAUGAAGCAUGAUGUAGUCACGCCGCGUGGGGUAUGUCGGCCUUCGGGUUGGAAACCGCUUUCGUCUUUGACGAAGCGUUAGUGACGGUAACGGGUAAAGAAGCACCGGCUAACUACGUG